This is a non-coding RNA of Paramuricea clavata, 351 nucleotides long. The record is from the annotation of a GenBank genome assembly. NCBI's taxonomy places the organism in Eukaryota, Metazoa, Cnidaria, Anthozoa, Malacalcyonacea, Plexauridae.
AGGAUCAAGCUGUGGAUGUUGAAACGGGCUAUGAUCCGGGAUUGUGUAAUCAAACUAAUCAUGGUAAGUUAAAACUGCUAAAAAACCGUGAAGACGAAGACAGAUUUUUGGUUUGUUCUCAAGAUAAAGGAGUUUUCAAGUGGAAAGCUACAGAUGGUGAGUAGCACUUUCAUCUUACAAGCAAAUUGGGAGGGCACCAUCUCGGCGUUUCGCACGACAAUUUAUCGAAAUGUUGGUUUGCCAAAAUUUUCUUUACAGUACUGUAUAUAUUAGAGGACUCAGUCCUUGUUACCGCUCUACGGUUGAUAAUACAUACAUGACACUAUACUUUAUUACCAAUCAUGAACGACA